UCGAAUAAACUUGAACAGGCUGUUGCUGGUCCUUCGGGAUAUGUGCACGCUUGUCAUCUUUGUUGUUUCUCCAACUGUGCACAUAUUGUAGACCUGUUUGUCGUUGGAUUCGUUCCGAGUUGGGGACUGCCGUGCUAAGGUCGGCUUUGCCCUUGAAGCAGGUCUAUGUCAUUUUUUCACAACCUCUCGAAUGUGUUUAGAAUGUUGAAAAUCAGGUCUUCGUACCUAUAAAGUUAUAAAUA
This 242-nucleotide unclassified non-coding RNA is filed under the name uncultured Inocybaceae. Its description in RNAcentral is "sequence contains ITS1". Lineage: Eukaryota; Fungi; Basidiomycota; Agaricomycetes; Agaricales. The record is from RNAcentral.